CUACGGGUCGCAGCAGUGAGGAAUUUUGCGCAAUGGGGGAAACCCUGACGCAGCAACGCCGCGUGAGCGAAGAAGGCCUUCGGGUCGUAAAGCUCUGUCAAGUGGGAAAAAAAUUCUUUGAUGAACAGUCAAAGGACUUGAUGGUACCACUGGAGGAAGCACCGGCUAACUCCGUGCCAGCAGCCGCGGUAAUACGGAGGGUGCAAGCGGUGUUCGGAAUUACUGGGCGUAAAGAGCGUGUAGGCGGUUUGACAAGUCAGAUGUGAAAGCCCCGGGCUCAACCCGGGAAGUGCAUUUGAAACUGUUUCACUAGAGUAUGGGAGAGGAGAUGGGAAUUCCUGGUGUAGAGGUGAGAUUCGUAGAUAUCAGGAGGAACACCCGUGGCGAAGGCGAUUCUCUGGACCAAUACUGACGCUGAGACGCGAAAGCGUGGGGAGCAAACAGGAUUAGAUACCCGAGUAGUC
RNAcentral lists this ribosomal RNA (464 nucleotides) under uncultured bacterium. Its description in RNAcentral is "partial 16S ribosomal RNA". It matches the Rfam family "Bacterial small subunit ribosomal RNA", at positions 339 to 795 of the family's 1533-position model. The record is from RNAcentral.